GAAUACAUAGCAUAUCAGAAGGCACACCCGGAGAACUGAAACAUCUUAGUACCCGGAGGAAGAGAAAGAAAAUUCGAUUCCCUUAGUAGCGGCGAGCGAAACGGGAAGAGCCCAAACCAACAAGCUUGCUUGUUGGGGUUGUAGGACACUCUAUACGGAGUUACAAAGGACGACAUUAGACGAAUCAUCUGGAAAGAUGAAU
This 202-nucleotide ribosomal RNA is filed under the name Staphylococcus aureus. RNAcentral's name for it is "partial 23S ribosomal RNA". It matches the Rfam family "Bacterial large subunit ribosomal RNA", at positions 160 to 355 of the family's 2925-position model. Lineage: Bacteria; Bacillati; Bacillota; Bacilli; Caryophanales; Staphylococcaceae. The record is from RNAcentral.